GCAAUGGGGGAAACCCUGACGCAGCAACGCCGCGUGGGUGAUGAAGGUCUUCGGAUUGUAAAGCCCUGUUUUCUGGGACGAUAAUGACGGUACUAGAGGAGGAAGCCACGGCUAACUACGUGCCAGCAGCCGCGGUAAUACGUAGGUGGCGAGCGUUGUCCGGAUUUACUGGGCGUAAAGGGUGCGUAGGCGGAUGUUUAAGUGGGAUGUGAAAUCCCCGGGCUUAACCUGGGGGCUGCAUUCCAAACUGGAUAUCUAGAGUGCAGGAGAGGAAAGCGGAAUUCCUAGUGUAGCGGUGAAAUGCGUAGAGAUUAGGAAGAACACCAGUGGCGAAGGCGGCUUUCUGGACUGUAACUGACGCUGAGGCACGAAAGCGUGGGUAGCAAACAGGAUUAGAUACCCUGGUAGUCCACGCCGUAAACGAUGGAUACUAGGUGUAGGGGGUAUCAACUCCCCCUGUGCCGCAGUUAACACAAUAAGUAUCCCGCCUGGGGAGUACGGUCGCAAGAUUAAAACUCAAAGGAAUUGACGGGGGCCCGCACAAGCAGCGGAGCAUGUGGUUUAAUUCGAAGCAACGCGAAGAACCUUACCUGGACUUGACAUCCCUUGCAUAGCCUAGAGAUAGGUGAAGCCCUUC
Molecule: ribosomal RNA, 637 nt
Filed under: Clostridium botulinum
Lineage: Bacteria; Bacillati; Bacillota; Clostridia; Eubacteriales; Clostridiaceae
Description: bacterial SSU rRNA
Rfam family: Bacterial small subunit ribosomal RNA
Source: RNAcentral